This 465-nucleotide ribosomal RNA is filed under the name Vreelandella stevensii. RNAcentral's name for it is "partial 16S ribosomal RNA". It matches the Rfam family "Bacterial small subunit ribosomal RNA", at positions 338 to 795 of the family's 1533-position model. The record is from RNAcentral. Lineage: Bacteria; Pseudomonadati; Pseudomonadota; Gammaproteobacteria; Oceanospirillales; Halomonadaceae.
CCUACGGGGGGCAGCAGUGGGGAAUAUUGGACAAUGGGCGAAAGCCUGAUCCAGCCAUGCCGCGUGUGUGAAGAAGGCCUUCGGGUUGUAAAGCACUUUCAGUGGGGAAGAAAGCCUUGGGGCUAAUACCCUCGAGGAAGGACAUCACCCACAGAAGAAGCACCGGCUAACUCCGUGCCAGCAGCCGCGGUAAUACGGAGGGUGCGAGCGUUAAUCGGAAUUACUGGGCGUAAAGCGCGCGUAGGCGGUCUGAUAAGCCGGUUGUGAAAGCCCCGGGCUCAACCUGGGAACGGCAUCCGGAACUGUCAGGCUAGAGUGCAGGAGAGGAAGGUAGAAUUCGCGGUGUAGCGGUGAAAUGCGUAGAGAUCGGGAGGAAUACCAGUGGCGAAGGCGGCCUUCUGGACUGACACUGACGCUGAGGUGCGAAAGCGUGGGUAGCAAACAGGAUUAGAUACCCCAGUAGUC